CCCUUAGAUGUUCUGGGCCGCACGCGCGCUACACUGUUCGACGCAGCGAGUCUUAACCUUGACCGAAAGGUUUGGGUAAUCUUCAGCAAAGUCGAACGUGAUGGGGAUCGAUCAUUGCAAUUAUUGAUCGUGAACGAGGAAUUCCUAGUAAGUGCAAGUCAUCAGCUUGCGCUGAUUACGUCCCUGCCCUUUGUACACACCGCCAGUCGCUACUACCGAUUGAAUGGUUUAGUGAGAUCUCUGGAUUGACGCUGGCUAGGGGGCGACCCUUGGCCAGACUGCUCGAGAAACUGCUCAAACUUGAUCAUUUAGAGGAAGUAAAAGUCGUAACA
This 332-nucleotide ribosomal RNA is filed under the name uncultured eukaryote. RNAcentral's name for it is "partial 18S ribosomal RNA". It matches the Rfam family "Eukaryotic small subunit ribosomal RNA", at positions 1470 to 1796 of the family's 1831-position model. The record is from RNAcentral.